CCUACGGGAGGCUGCAGUGGGGAAUAUUGGACAAUGGGCGAAAGCCUGAUCCAGCCAUGCCGCGUGUGUGAAGAAGGCCUUCGGGUUGUAAAGCACUUUCAGUGGGGAAGAAAGCCUUGGGGCUAAUACCCUCGAGGAAGGACAUCACCCACAGAAGAAGCACCGGCUAACUCCGUGCCAGCAGCCGCGGUAAUACGGAGGGUGCGAGCGUUAAUCGGAAUUACUGGGCGUAAAGCGCGCGUAGGCGGUCUGAUAAGCCGGUUGUGAAAGCCCCGGGCUCAACCUGGGAACGGCAUCCGGAACUGUCAGGCUAGAGUGCAGGAGAGGAAGGUAGAAUUCCCGGUGUAGCGGUGAAAUGCGUAGAGAUCGGGAGGAAUACCAGUGGCGAAGGCGGCCUUCUGGACUGACACUGACGCUGAGGUGCGAAAGCGUGGGUAGCAAACAGGAUUAGAUACCCCUUAGUC
Molecule: ribosomal RNA, 464 nt
Filed under: Vreelandella stevensii
Lineage: Bacteria; Pseudomonadati; Pseudomonadota; Gammaproteobacteria; Oceanospirillales; Halomonadaceae
Description: partial 16S ribosomal RNA
Rfam family: Bacterial small subunit ribosomal RNA
Source: RNAcentral